UUAUCCAUCCCCUCAGGUUACCGAUCCAUCGCUAACAUAUAUGUGCGAUCGAUAACAUCCAGUUAGGCCUGUGAAGUUUUACAUAGCACAUAUAUGAUAUUGGAUGGCCUUUUUCUCCCACUACACUACUUAGUGAAGGAGCUCGCAAAACAGGAUUUAUUCAGAUCGUCUGCCACAAUCGUCGACGAAGUGAUGAAAGAAGUCAUACCAGACGGUGCCCACUCACUCAUGAACCCUGAUAAUAUUGCGAGGGCAGCAAACUUAUAUUGACAGAACCUUCGACCAAAAGAACCCAAACCAGAUGACGUGAAAUUUGAAGUAACGAGAAGUGUUUCAUAUGUAGAUACUAUGCUUAGAUAAUAAAUUUCAUCUAUAUACCUA
Molecule: long non-coding RNA, 381 nt
Organism: Portunus trituberculatus (swimming crab)
Lineage: Eukaryota; Metazoa; Arthropoda; Malacostraca; Decapoda; Portunidae
Exons: 2
Source: RefSeq, a predicted model, not a curated record